RNAcentral lists this long non-coding RNA (920 nucleotides) under Citrus sinensis (sweet orange). RNAcentral's name for it is "long non-coding RNA (CSIN_LNC001924)". The record is from RNAcentral. Lineage: Eukaryota; Viridiplantae; Streptophyta; Magnoliopsida; Sapindales; Rutaceae.
GAUCAAGAAUGUUGUUGAAGAGGCGUACUGAGAGUCUGGAUUCAGAGAUUGCACAUUGGUGACAGUCGAUACAAGUGCAUGUUUUCUGUGGCAUGUCAUUGAAGAGGCACUUCUAUUAAUUGCACGGAUGACCCAACUGCAUAGAAGCCUGAUUGGGACACAAAAAUAGAUGAGUAUGAUUUCAUUUUUUUUUCCUUUUCUGAUCUUUGUUAGGAAUAUUGAAUUUUAUACUAAUGUCUUGCGAAUCCUGAUGUACAUAGAAAUGUAACAGCUACCUGUUCAGUGUGAAGAGACAAGGGAAAGAAAUGGACAUUCCUUUGGGUUUCUGACUUUAAUCCCCAAGCCUGUAUGUGUAUGGAGCUUGUCUCUUUGCUUGAAUCAUGGUUUCCCCCCAGUUUCACUGAAUCAUUUCUUUGUACGUAUUCUGGUUAGAUUAUUGAGAGGGAGAAAAACUGAAUACUGAACGGUGUUAUGAUCAAAAUGUUAUUUAUUAGUGACCAACGAGGAAUUGAUGCACUUAGCAGUGAACGUGUUACAGACAUCAAUACAUUUGAGGUAAUGCAAGUGCAAUAUUCUUUCCCGUGUUUGGUAAUGCACUUCAACAAAAUAUGUGUCACUAUAAUAAAUUAUCUGCAUCAGUGAUUUUCGACAAGCAACAGGUUAUAUCUUAACUGACUACAUUGAUGUAUCUAAACUGAUUACGCUUAAGCCUCAAACUCCGUUUACCGACGACGCAGGUGUUGGGGACAUCAUCAGAAGGGGAAAAAAACAGUGCGCAAAAGGUUCCCCCCCCAACCCUGCCUCUUUUUUUUUUUUUUUUUGUGGGUGGAUUUUUUUAAUGAUCUUGUAUGCAUAUCAUUUGGUAGUAAAGCUUACGGUUUUUCCAAGCACAAAAAGGACGAGUGACAGUUGGAUGAAGA